RNAcentral lists this long non-coding RNA (529 nucleotides) under Chinchilla lanigera (long-tailed chinchilla). Its description in RNAcentral is "lncRNA (ENSCLAG00000025230.1)". Lineage: Eukaryota; Metazoa; Chordata; Mammalia; Rodentia; Chinchillidae. The record is from RNAcentral.
GCUCCCUGCCGGGUAGGUGUGGGAGAUGCAGGGCAGCAGGCAGCAGGACCACAGAGGAAAGGGCUGCUGGGCCUCUCUCCGGAGACAGAAGAGGUGACAAGCAGCGACUCAUCGUGGGAACAUGAGGGCGGGCACAAGCGCUGCCUCACCCUGGAUGAAAAUGGGACCAGCCACCAGCAACACACCUCCCCCUAGUGGUCACGUCAGAAACUGCACCAGCAUCCUCAACUCCUCCCCGUAUCAAGUCAACAGUAGACUUCCCUGACCCUCACAAGGCCUUCAGUGAGCCGGGCGGGGGACAGGUGCAGGCAAGGAAAGAAGGGAGUGAUUUCGUUGGACACGUGAAGAUUCUUCAGUAAGAGGAAUACAUUUCUAGCUAGCAGCAGAUAAAUUUUCCACCUCCUAUUCAAACAGUUGGCCUGUUGCUUACUUAUAGCCUCAAGGGAGGUGAUGGAGACCACUACAAAGUGGCUCUCAGCAGGAUUUAAAAUUAACCAAUCGGCUUUUUGUGUUUGCUUGUGAGUGUGCC